RNAcentral lists this ribosomal RNA (488 nucleotides) under uncultured bacterium. RNAcentral describes it as "bacterial SSU rRNA". It matches the Rfam family "Bacterial small subunit ribosomal RNA", at positions 322 to 802 of the family's 1533-position model. The record is from RNAcentral.
AGACACGGCCCAAACUCCUACGGGAGGCAGCAGUAGGGAAUCUUCGGCAAUGGACGAAAGUCUGACCGAGCAACGCCGCGUGAGUGAAGAAGGUUUUCGGAUCGUAAAACUCUGUUGUUAGAGAAGAACAAGGAUGAGAGUAACUGUUCAUCCCUUGACGGUAUCUAACCAGAAAGCCACGGCUAACUACGUGCCAGCAGCCGCGGUAAUACGUAGGUGGCAAGCGUUGUCCGGAUUUAUUGGGCGUAAAGCGAGCGCAGGCGGUUUCUUAAGUCUGAUGUGAAAGCCCCCGGCUCAACCGGGGAGGGUCAUUGGAAACUGGGAGACUUGAGUGCAGAAGAGGAGAGUGGAAUUCCAUGUGUAGCGGUGAAAUGCGUAGAUAUAUGGAGGAACACCAGUGGCGAAGGCGGCUCUCUGGUCUGUAACUGACGCUGAGGCUCGAAAGCGUGGGGAGCAAACAGGAUUAGAUACCCUGGUAGUCCACGCCG